This 468-nucleotide ribosomal RNA is filed under the name uncultured bacterium. RNAcentral describes it as "partial 16S ribosomal RNA". It matches the Rfam family "Bacterial small subunit ribosomal RNA", at positions 28 to 507 of the family's 1533-position model. The record is from RNAcentral.
GACGAACGCUGGCGGCGUGCUUAACACAUGCAAGUCGAACGGAAAGGCCCUGCUUUUGUGGGGUGCUCGAGUGGCGAACGGGUGAGUAACACGUGAGUAACCUGCCCUUGACUUUGGGAUAACUUCAGGAAACUGGGGCUAAUACCGGAUAGGAGCUCCUGCUGCAUGGUGGGGGUUGGAAAGUUUCGGCGGUUGGGGAUGGACUCGCGGCUUAUCAGCUUGUUGGUGGGGUAGUGGCUUACCAAGGCUUUGACGGGUAGCCGGCCUGAGAGGGUGACCGGCCACAUUGGGACUGAGAGACGGCCCAGACUCCUACGGGAGGCAGCAGUGGGGAAUAUUGCACAAUGGGAGGAAGCCUGAGGCAGCAACGCCGCGUGCGGGAUGACGGCCUUCGGGUUGUAAACCGCUUUCGCCUGUGACGAAGCGUGAGUGACGGUAAUGGGUAAAGAAGCACCGGCUAACUACGUG